RNAcentral lists this long non-coding RNA (1462 nucleotides) under Pan troglodytes (chimpanzee). RNAcentral's name for it is "long non-coding RNA NONPTRT000764". Lineage: Eukaryota; Metazoa; Chordata; Mammalia; Primates; Hominidae. The record is from RNAcentral.
CAGGCCAUAAUUGAAAGAACUAACAGAACACUCAAAGCUCAAUUGGUUAAACAAAAAAAGGAAAAAUAGAGUAAGGAGUAUAACACUCCCCAGAUGCAACUUAAUCUAGCAUUCUAUUCUUUAAGUUUUUUAAACAUUUAUAGAAAUCAGACCACUACUUCUGCAGAACAUUUUACUGGUAAAAAGAACAGCCCACAUGAAGGAAAACUGAUUUGGUGGAAAGACAACAAAAAUAAAACAUGGGAAAUAGGGAAGGUGAUAACAUGGGGGAGAGGUUUUGUUUCACCAGGAAAAAAUCAGCUUCCAGUUUGGGUACUUAGAACUUACAGAAGAAGUUGCCAUCCACCAAGAAAGUGGAGCCGCCGACCUGGGCCCAGCUAAAGCAGCUGACACAGUUAGCUGAAAAAAGCCUGAAGAACACAAGAGUAACACAAACUCCAGAGAAUAUGCUGCUUGCAGCUUUAAUGAUUGUAUCAACGAUGUCUACAGGUACACCCAGCAGCUCCAGAGAGACAGUGACCAGUGAGAAUGGACCAUGACGACGAUGGUGGUUUUGUCAAAAAGAAAAGGGGGAUAUGCAGGGAAAAGAGAGAGAAAUCACACUGUUACUGUGUCUAUGUAGAAAGGGAAGACAUAAGAGAUUCCAUUUUGACCUGUAUCAAACAAUUGCUUUGCUGAGAUGUUGUUAAUCUGUAACUUUUCCCCAGCCACUUUGCCCCAACCUUGACCUCACAAAAACAUGUGUUGUAUAGAAUCAAGGUUUAAGGGAUCUAGGGCUGUGCAGGACAUGUCUUGUUAACAAAAUGUUUACAAGCAGUAUGCUUGGUAAAAGUCAUCGCCAUUCUCUAGUCUCGAUAAACCAGGGGGGCACAAUGCAGUGCAGAAAGCUGCAGGGACCUCUGCCCUGGAAAGCCGGGUAUUGUCCAAGGUUUCUCCCCAUGUGAUAGUCUGAAAUACAGCCUCGUGGGAUGAGAAAGACCUGACCGUACCCCAGCCCGACACCCGUGAAGGGUCUGUGCUGAGGUGGAUUAGUAAAAGAGGAAAGCCUCUUGCAGUUGAGAUAGAGGAAGGCCACUGUUUCCUGCCUGCCCCUGGGAACUGAAUGUCUCCGUAUAAAACCCGAUUGUACAUUUGUUCAAUUCUGAGAUAGGAGAAAAAUCGCCCUAUGGUGGGAGACGAGACAUGUUGGCAGCAAUGCUGCCCUGUUAUUCUUUAUUCCACUGAAAUGUUUGGGUGGAGAGAAACAUAAAUCUGGCCUACAUGCACAUCCAGGCAUAGUACCUCCCCUUGAACUUAAUUAUGACAUGGAUUCUUUUGCUCACAUUUUUUUUGGUACCUUCUCAUUAUCACCCUGCUGUCCUACUGCAUUCCUCUUGCUGAGAUAAUGAAAACAAUAAUCAAUAAAAACUGAGGGAACUCAGAGACUGGUGCUGGUGCAAGUCCUUGGUAUGCUGAGUGCCGG